RNAcentral lists this ribosomal RNA (435 nucleotides) under uncultured bacterium. Its description in RNAcentral is "bacterial SSU rRNA". It matches the Rfam family "Bacterial small subunit ribosomal RNA", at positions 29 to 507 of the family's 1533-position model. The record is from RNAcentral.
AACGAACGCUGGCGGCAGGCUUAACACAUGCAAGUCGAACGGGCAUAGCAAUAUGUCAGUGGCAGACGGGUGAGUAACGCGUGGGAACAUACCCAUCACUACGGAAUAACUCAGGGAAACUUGUGCUAAUACCGUAUACGACCGAGAGGUGAAAGAUUUAUCGCCUUAGGAGCGGCCCGCGUCGGAUUAGCUAGUUGGUGGGGUAACGGCUUACCAAGGCUUCGAUCCGUAGCUGGUCUGAGAGGACGAUCAGCCACACUGGGACUGAGACACGGCCCAGACUCCUACGGGAGGCAGCAGUGGGGAAUCUUGCGCAAUGGGGGCAACCCUGACGCAGCCAUGCCGCGUGAAUGAUGAAGGCCUUAGGGUUGUAAAGUUCUUUUGCCCGUGACGAUGAUGACGGUAACGGGAGAAUAAGCUCCGGCUAACUUCGUG